AUAUCAACAAAAUAUGCUGCAAUUUCAGCAAUCUCUCUAACAAGCAUAAACUACUCAGAAUUAUACAGACCAUUAAAUAACUCAGUAUGGUGAAAUUUAAGAUACCUCUUUUGUUUUAUCUCCAGACACAACAGCACCCUUGGAAUCAUAGCCUUCAAAUUUCCAAAAGUGAAAAAGAUAACAAAAAAAAAUCAUCAAAACUAAACUACAAAACAUUAUAAAUAUCACACAAAGAAGGGCUGAACCUUCUAGGGAGAGAGAGAGAUUAAAAUGAUGCCCAGCAAUAAAAUCAAAGGUGAAGAGAUAGAAAAUCUAAAAUGUCAUGACCCAUGAACCAGGACAGGGGAAGGCUAAAUAAAAAAUAAUUCAACUAUUGUUAGAAGGGGAUCAUUUACCUAUACAAAGAUCAUGAGCUUAUAAAAUAAAAUCCAUGCUGCCCAAUACAUUAUAUGGCUCAGUGGCAGAUAUUUUAGCAUAGACUAUGGAGACUAUAAUGCUCUGAACUGAAACCAAGUUAUCAAAAAAAGCAAAAGGAAAGAACA
This 542-nucleotide long non-coding RNA is filed under the name Elaeis guineensis (African oil palm). RNAcentral describes it as "long non-coding RNA (EGUI_LNC027822)". The record is from RNAcentral. Lineage: Eukaryota; Viridiplantae; Streptophyta; Magnoliopsida; Arecales; Arecaceae.